Molecule: ribosomal RNA, 465 nt
Filed under: uncultured Macrococcus sp.
Lineage: Bacteria; Bacillati; Bacillota; Bacilli; Caryophanales; Staphylococcaceae
Description: bacterial SSU rRNA
Rfam family: Bacterial small subunit ribosomal RNA
Source: RNAcentral
CCUACGGGAGGCAGCAGUAGGGAAUCUUCCGCAAUGGACGAAAGUCUGACGGAGCAACGCCGCGUGAGUGAAGAAGGUUUUCGGAUCGUAAAACUCUGUUGUAAGGGAAGAACAAGUACGUUAGUAACUGAACGUACCUUGACGGUACCUUACCAGAAAGCCACGGCUAACUACGUGCCAGCAGCCGCGGUAACACGUAGGUGGCAAGCGUUAUCCGGAAUUAUUGGGCGUAAUGCGCGCGUAGGCGGUCUCUUAAGUCUGAUGGGAAAGCCCCCGGAUCGGCCGGGGAGGGUCGUUUGAAGCUGGGAGGCUUGAGUGCAGAAGAGGAGGGUGGAAUUCCAUGUGUAGCGGUGAAAUGCGAAGAGAUAUGGAGGAACACCAGUGGCGAAGGCGGCUCUCUGGUCUGUAGCUGACGCUGAGGUGCGAAAGCGUGGGGAUCAAACAGGAUUAGAUACCCCGGUAGUC